UUGCGGGACCACGCCUCCUGUAACGGCUAAGCCGUAGGGUGGGGGACGGGAGGUUGUGCUCAAUGGGGUGGGAGGGGUUAUUGAGGUAGAGGAAUAAAAGACUGGCGUGGGAGACGCGAGGUGCGGGUGGCGUGGGGAAGAGAAAAUUGAGGCUGGCUGGGCCUGGGAAGAGAAGAGAGAGAGAGACGGCUCGGGAGGCUUGGGGUAAAGAAGGAACGACCAAGGGAGAGUCUGACGCAGGGAUGAGGGGUGCAGAUGAAAAAGGAAAGCUUGGAGGGAGAAAUUGAGGAAGGACGCGGCAGUGGGAAGACUGAAGGCUGUUGGAGGACUUGAACUAAGAUUCUUGCGCAAAAAAGUGGGAUAGAGGCCAGGUCCUUAAUCCGUGAUGGUUGCAUCAUUAGGGUGGCUCCUGCCUCUUUUUGGGCCCUUCACGAUUGAUAAUUCCAAGACCUGUUCAAAGAGAUCCUUACCACUGCUCUCAAGGCCAAUGUAUGUAGUGGACAGUCUCCCAAUGCGUUCUCCUCAUCCUGGAUAUACCUGGUGCCGUCUCUAACCUUUUCUUUCUUCCACAGAUUUUUGCUCCUCUCAUUCUAAGCACUCCCAUCCCUUUUCCUUCUGUAUCAGUUUCCCAAAAUAAGCCAAUGCUUUUGAAGAGCAUUUCUGGAAAUUAUCUUCUGGGUGCCUGGAAACUGUUGAUUUUGGGAUCUGAAACUUCAACAAGAGAACAUUAAGGCCUGGCUACCUUCUUGUGAGUGGGGGAGAGAAAUCACAGAAAUGAGAACAAAACACAAAUAUCUUCAGAAAUUAUCACAUAUAUUAUAUAGAUAUAUUUCCGGUGUCAGAUGCAGUACUUUACUUUGAGGUCACAAAGGUAGUUUAUAUUCAAGUAGGAGAAAAAAAGAGUAUUUAAUUGUAAUGAAAAAUUGCAAUGUGACAAAUGCCAAGAGAUAAGUGAAUAUUAAGUACGAUUGGAGUUUAAAGCACAAGAUAGAUUUCAACCAGGGGAGAAUGAGUUCCAGGCAAAGGGAAGCGUGAAUAAAAGAGCAGAGAUGAGAAUGUCAGAGAUGCAUUUAAGGAAUGGGAGUGAUCGAGUUGUGAAGAAAUAGUGGGGUGAGACAUCAAAGGCAUGGAGAAGGGAAAGGGGGCAAGGAGGAUUUAUAGCUCCCUAGCAACUCAUUACUGCUGCUGUCCUUGAAAAUUCUGCUUGGGUGAUGGCGUUACAAAUGGCUGAAGUGUCCUUGCUCUGUAAUGAGAUGCCCAGAUAAAGGUACCUUGAGCUGAGGCUAAUAAAACUUUGAUAAGGAAGUGUCUGAGAAGGAGCUGGGUAGUGGUAUCUAUGGGUUUCUAGACUAGAAUCAACAUUCUUACCUGAUGGCUGCCAAACCUUGACUUACUUUCUCUGAGGAUGGGGUUGAGGGGAGGUAUGAGCUCUUCUUCGUGGUGAGAUGCACAAAAGGUAAUUUAUGAAACGAUGGUUGUGUGCCCGCAGUGUACUUACCAAGUACAUGGUGCAGCAGCCUUCCAUUGUGGGGGGAGGGGUGGAGAGUGUGGGGGGAGGAAACCUCCCCUAGGAAUUGGAAAGAGUAAUUCCUGCCCUGAAGCCUAGAGGUCUGCAGUUCAUUUUAUGUGGACCACGGUAUGCUACCCGACGUUCUCCUGAAGGUAUUAACAGUAUGGCCUUGUGAAAUGACUGACUUUGGAGUCAGGUGGACAAAUUUAAAUCUAGCAAUGCCUUGUCUUUGCUGUGUGUCAUUGGGAAAACCACAACCUGGCUGAGCCUUAACUUCCUUCUCUAUAGAGUGGAGGUAAUGACAUCUGCCUUGCAGAAUGGUGGACAUUAACAAAUAUCAGUGUAAACCUCCCGAUAGUAGGGCUUCUAAACAGCAGUAAUAAUAAUUAUUAUGUCAUUUAGUGCCUAAUGAAGAGUUUUGGGUGCUCGUGUUGGCUGUGGAUCUGCACGGCCUGCUCUCUAAUCUCUUGUGUUCACAAACCGUAACUGUACUUUGUUUUGGACCGGGGAGGUUCCAAAAAGACUGUUUCUUCUACCCUAUUUACUCACAUAAUCCAGUUACUAUGGCAUAUAGGGUGCAGGAGCAAUUGACAGCGUAGUGAUUCAGAAGGAGUUAGGGCGAAAGCUGGCUCUUCCUCUAACCUGCUGAAUGAUAGAGCACGUUACUUAACCGUUCUCAGCCUCUGCUAAUCCUUCUCUUAGCCACCGCAGGGCUCUUGGGAUUAAAAGAGGGAGCAUCUGUAUUCAGCACAGGGGCUGGCAAUUAGUAGGUCAUUGAUAAGCGAUAGAGGCCAUUGUUAUUACUACACACAUUGACUGAGUACCUUAUUGCAGACUUUCACUUCAUGUGAGUCCCUAACCAGACGGGCUGAAAAGAAUAGAGGUUUGCCUGACCUGUGUGAUCUUCACGAAUGGGGGAUCCGCAGGCCCUCUUUGCCUCUCCUGCUUCACAGCCAGUUCCCGGGAGAAGGGCUCCGGCCCUGAGCAGGAGAGUUUCUUUUCCGAGAGUGUAGUUAGUGUAGUUCAUCUGUUCAAUCUUAAACACCUACUUAGUGCCAAAUAUAUGGAGGUGGAGAAGGAGACAGGGAGACCAAGAUUCAACAUUUUAAAGUGUUUUUCUAACAUUUUUUAAUUACAAAAAUACAUACUUCUAGCUUUAAGAAAAAUCCAACCAUAAUAAAGGCAGAAAGUGAAAAGUAAAAUUUCUCCCCAAAUCUUGCUCACUCACUUGACUGCCCUUCCUUAAAAUAUCCACUAUUCAGUGGUUCAGUGUGUAGCCUGCCAGACAUUUUAACACAUCUAUAUGCGAGUCUGUCUUUUUUGUUCUAAACAUAAACGGCAGCAUUCUGUGCCAACAGUUUUUUACUUGUUUUUAAAUAAAAUAUUCUGGCCACCUUUCCUUGUCAGUAUAUAAGUUUGCUUCAUUUUUUUCAUGGUCUUAUAGUAUUAUAUUGAGCGCUUUUAACCAGUCCCCUUCUGAUAAAGAUAUAGGUGAUUCUAGCUUUUCAGUAUUGCAAACCAUACUGCAAUAAGCAUCACUGUAUAGAACAUCUUUGUGCAUAAUAUCAAUAUAUCUAUAGGGUAAUUCCUAGAAAUGGCACAAAAAGACUGCGCCAAGCAGCAGGGUAGGUAGCAUCUUCUUUUUCCACCCCCUCAAUCAAUUUCGGGUACUGUCUUCCCAUCUUUUUAGUCUUCAUCAAUAUGGUAGCUGAAAUGGCGUGAGAUUGAAUAAGAGUCCAUGCCCUCAAGCUCAUUGUUUAGUGGAGACAAAUAUGUAAACCAAGAGUGACCAUGUAAUAGUGUGAAAAGUGUUAUAAUCGAGCAUGAUACAAAUUGCUGUGGGAAUAUGCAGGAAGGAGUGACUGACCAACUGCUGACCGGAAUUUGGAAAGUCGCCAGGUGCGUAAGCCUGCAUGAUAUUUGGAUAAUAAUAAUCUUUUUUUCUGCCUGUCCUCCCAACCAGGAGGUGAGUGGCUUGUGGGCAGGAACUACUUCUGCCUCUAUAUACAAAGGUUGGAACAGAACAGGCAUUGGAUACAUGUAUGUUGAUCAAGUAAAUAUCUGCAAAAUAAACUCAUUCUCCCUGUUGCCUUUA
Hipposideros armiger (great roundleaf bat) is the source of this 3605-nucleotide long non-coding RNA. RefSeq lists it as uncharacterized. The record is from RefSeq and is a predicted model, not a curated record. The transcript is spliced from 2 exons. NCBI's taxonomy places the organism in Eukaryota, Metazoa, Chordata, Mammalia, Chiroptera, Hipposideridae.